CCUACGGGUGGCAGCAGUGGGGAAUAUUGGACAAUGGGGGGAACCCUGAUCCAGCCACGCCGCGUGUGUGAAGAAGGCCCUCGGGUUGUAAAGCACUUUCAGUGAGGAAGAACGCCUGGUGGUUAAUACCCAUCAGGAAAGACAUCACUCACAGAAGAAGCACCGGCUAACUCCGUGCCAGCAGCCGCGGUAAUACGGAGGGUGCGAGCGUUAAUCGGAAUUACUGGGCGUAAAGCGCGCGUAGGUGGCUUGAUAAGCCGGUUGUGAAAGCCCCGGGCUCAACCUGGGAACGGCAUCCGGAACUGUCAAGCUAGAGUGCAGGAGAGGAAGGUAGAAUUCCCGGUGUAGCGGUGAAAUGCGUAGAGAUCGGGAGGAAUACCAGUGGCGAAGGCGGCCUUCUGGACUGACACUGACACUGAGGUGCGAAAGCGUGGGUAGCAAACAGGAUUAGAUACCCCAGUAGUC
RNAcentral lists this ribosomal RNA (465 nucleotides) under Vreelandella stevensii. RNAcentral describes it as "partial 16S ribosomal RNA". It matches the Rfam family "Bacterial small subunit ribosomal RNA", at positions 338 to 795 of the family's 1533-position model. The record is from RNAcentral. Lineage: Bacteria; Pseudomonadati; Pseudomonadota; Gammaproteobacteria; Oceanospirillales; Halomonadaceae.